AGUGAACGCUGGCGGUAGGCCUAACACAUGCAAGUCGAACGGCAGCACAGUAAGAGCUUGCUGUUACGGGUGGCGAGUGGCGGACGGGUGAGGAAUACAUCGGAAUCUACUUUUUCGUGGGGGAUAACGUAGGGAAACUUACGAUAAUAUCGCAUAUGACCUACGGGUGAAAGCAGGGGAUCUUCGGACCUUGGGGGAGUGAAUGAGCCGAUGACGUAUUAGUUAGUUGGGGGGGUAGUGGCCUACCAAGGCGAUGAUGGGUAGCUGGCGUGAGUGGGUGACCGGGAAAAGUGGGACUGAGAUAAGGCCCAGACGCCUACGGGAGGCAGCAGUGGGGAAUAUUGCACAAUGGGCGGAAGCAUGAUGCAGCAACGCAGAGUGCGGGAUGACGGCCUUCGGGUUGUAAACCGCUUUCGCCUGUGACGAAGCGUGAGUGACGGUAAUGGGUAAAGAAGCACCGGCUAACUACGUG
Molecule: ribosomal RNA, 472 nt
Filed under: uncultured bacterium
Lineage: Bacteria
Description: partial 16S ribosomal RNA
Rfam family: Bacterial small subunit ribosomal RNA
Source: RNAcentral